RNAcentral lists this unclassified non-coding RNA (229 nucleotides) under plant metagenome. Its description in RNAcentral is "partial contains small subunit ribosomal RNA, internal transcribed spacer 1, and 5.8S ribosomal RNA". The record is from RNAcentral.
UAUCCGUAGGUGAACCUGCGGAGGGAUCAUUACAGAGUUCAUGCCCUACCGGGUAGAUCUCCCACCCUAUGUUAUUAUUACUUUGUUGCUUUGGCGGGCCGUUAGGCUCCGGCCCGACUACCGGCCCCGGCUGGUAAGCGCCCGCCAGAGGACCCAAAACCCUGAAUAUAAGUGUCGUCUGAGUACUAUAUAAUAGUUAAAACUUUCAACAACGGAUCUCUUGGUUCUG